UACGGAGGGUGCGAGCGUUGUCCGGAAUCACUGGGCGUAAAGGGCGCGUAGGCGGCAUGCCAAGCGUGUGGUGAAAGCCCGGGGCUCAACCCCGGGUCGGCCGUGCGGACUGGCGUGCUCGAGCACUGUAGGGGCGGGUGGAAUUCCCGGUGUAGCGGUGGAAUGCGUAGAGAUCCGGAAGAACACCGGUGGCGAAGGCGGCCCGCUGGGCCUGCACUGACGCUCAUGCACGAAAGCGUGGGGAGCAAACAGG
RNAcentral lists this ribosomal RNA (253 nucleotides) under uncultured bacterium. RNAcentral's name for it is "partial 16S ribosomal RNA". It matches the Rfam family "Bacterial small subunit ribosomal RNA", at positions 524 to 776 of the family's 1533-position model. The record is from RNAcentral.